Molecule: RNA transcript, 2377 nt
Organism: Acyrthosiphon pisum (pea aphid)
Lineage: Eukaryota; Metazoa; Arthropoda; Insecta; Hemiptera; Aphididae
Gene name: replication protein A 70 kDa DNA-binding subunit B-like
Exons: 6
Source: RefSeq, a predicted model, not a curated record
UUCAUUAGGUACUAUUUAUGUAUCUUCCAGAUUGAUAGUCUUCAAUUUCAUCUUUUUUAUUUUCGAUUGUAAACAUUGCUUGAUCACUCCCUUUGUGAAUGUAUUUCAAUAUGUAUUUUAUUGCAACGACUGAACUACAUGAUUCAAGAUUGAUAUGUGCUUUCAUUAUUUUUGAAACAAGUGGAGAGUAAGGAACAAUCCAACUGUUAUCUACAUCGACUGGUUUAUAUUUACCAUUCAUCAUUCUCAUUUUUAUAGUAGUUUUAAAACCACCAUCCGUUGAAAUGGGAUAAAAAAAAACUAUAGCAAAUUGUUUGUGCAGAUUAACACAAUGGUACGACAAAACAGGAAAAAAACAAAAAGAUGAUAUUUACAUUCAAAUAAGCAGAGAACAAGAAGAAGGCUACAAUUUUGUUAAAUUUAAUAUGAUGUAUAAUAAAGCAAAAAACACUAUUAUAGACGUUAUUGCCAAAAUAGAACAAAUUAAGGACACCGAAAACAUAACAUCCGUACACGGUGAUCACUAUGAGAAAAAAGAAAUAAUUCUCAUAGAUGAAAACAACAGAAAAAUAACUUUAAAUUUAUGGAAUGAAAAAAUCAAUGAAUUCAAAGGAAAAAAAGAGGAUAUUAUUGCAAUUAAAAAUGCCAAAAUUGGAGAGUAUAAUUACACUAAAAAUUUAACUUUAAUCAAUUCAUCUAGAAUGUCGAUAAAUCCCGGCGUUCCAGAAGCGACAAAAAUAAGAGAAGAGUGUCUAGAACGAAAUAAAGACAUUGAAGAAUUAGAUGAACCAAUGUAUACAAAAAUUGGAAAGAUUUUAAAUCUGGAAAAUCAAACAAUAUUAAAUGUCAUUGCAGUCGUCGAAAAUAUCGGAGACACUGAUACAGUAUUUGCAAAAGACGGAAGGGAAUUUAAAAAAAAAAAGAUACAACUAAUUGAUAACAGUGAUGAGGCAAGUGUAAUUCAGAAUAAAAAAUCACAAUAAAUAUUAAUAAUCCUCAUGUUCUAGAUUACACUGACUUUAUGGAAUGAAAAUGCAGAAAAUUUUAUUGCAGACAAGGACACAAUAAUAACAAUAGAAAAAGCGAAAGUUGACGAAUAUCGAGAAAAAAAAUAUUUGGCAUUAAUACAGUCAUCAGUUAUAACUUACCAUGUGGAAACUUCUAAAAUAAAAAGUUUUCAUGAUUGGUAUUUAACAAAAUAUAAUAAAGAGGAACCGAAACCAAGCACUUCCAAAAUGGAAGACUAAAAUUAAUACGAAAUAUUUAUUUGAAAUAAAUUUAAGAAACAAUUUCUAAUAAACAAAAAAAAAUUUUUCCAAAAUAAAUUACUUACGGUCUUUUCUUUUAUUCUCUGUUUUCUUUUAGAAAUAUCGACAGACAAAGAGAUCAAUAAGCAUUAGAGCAUAUUUUAUUUUUCCGCAUGAUUUGAUGGCAUAAUCAUUUCAAUUAUACACAACUGAACUUUAUAGCAAUAUUUAAGAAUUAAUAAUUUUUAAGUUGAACCGCCAAAAUCGUUAAAUUGUAUUUUUAAUGGUACGUAUUCGGUCUAAUCCGUAUUUUAAAAAGAAUAUAGCAUAAAGUGAAACAACGCGGUGUCAGCUAAAAUAGUUCAAAAAAAGAAAACUAAUGGAAGAAGUAAUUUUUCAAAAACAUCGAAAAAGUGAAAAAUGUUGGAUCAGUCGAUUAAGUAGUUCAAAAGAACGCUCAUAAAGGAGGAAAAACGAAAAGUCAAAUUUAGAGCGUAUAUAUCAACCCGUUUACAUCAAAGGCAAUUCCACUUGUAUUGAGAAAAUAAAAACCAAACCGAUUUCUUCGUUUAUUAAGAAAAAAAAAAUUCAAAGUGAAACGCAACCCGGGCGAAGCCGGGGUAACACCUGCUAGUAAUAUUAUAAUAUCAAUAAAUAAUAUUAUCAUCGGUAGCGUGACAUAGAGGGCCGAACGAACACCCGUGUACGACUGUCCCACUCAGUCCCAGUGUCCCACGGUCCGCGUAUCGCGAUCGACGCCCCCGCCGCCGAUGUUAUCAGCUGCACACAACAGCUGAUCGACUUUGUCUUUCCCUCCGCGAUUUCUGACAAAUUACAAAAUGACGAUUACCGCACCGACACCACUUGACUGACUUGAGUGUCACACUUGAGCACUUGACAGUCACAAAUAUAUAUAAUCACAUAUAAUAUUAAUGUGUUAUAAUAAAGAUAAGACCAGUCGUCGGUCGAGUUGUACUUGAGUACUCGUCGGGUUCAUACCGAUACCGUUUGUCGUAUCAGCAGUCGGUACUCGUAUCUCUGAGAAGUGUGAAGCGGCAGUAACGUAAUAUUAUUAUUAUUAUUAUUACUGCUUUGUUGUUAUGACUUAAUACUUGGUAAUUAUUAUUAUC